AGCAGGCGCGCAAAUUACCCAAUCCCGACACGGGGAGGUAGUGACAAUAAAUAACAAUACGGGGCUCUUUCGGGUCUCGUAAUUGGAAUGAGUACAAUUUAAAUCCCUUAACGAGGAACAAUUGGAGGGCAAGUCUGGUGCCAGCGGCCGCGGUAAUUCCAGCUCCAAUAGCGUAUAUUAAAGUUGUUGCAGUUAAAAAGCUCGUAGUUGAAUUUCGGGAUUGACACAUCGGUCGUGCCUUAAGGGGUAUGAACUGGUGUAGUCAAUUUCUCACCUUCUGGAGAACCGCGAUGCCCUUAAUUGGGUGUCACGGGGAACCAGGACCUUUACUUUGAAAAAAUUAGAGUGUUUAAAGCAGGCAUUUUGCUUGAAUACAUUAGCAUGGAAUAAUAAAAUAGGACGGCAUGAUUCUAUUUUGUUGGUCUCUAGGAUCACCGUAAUGAUUAAUAGGGAUAGUUGGGGGCAUUAGUAUUCAAUUGUCAGAGGUGAAAUUCUUGGAUUUAUUGAAGACUAACUACUGCGAAAGCAUUUGCCAAGGAUGUUUUCAUUAAUCAAGAACGAAAGUUAGGGGAUCGAAGACGAUCAGAUACCGUCGUAGUCUUAACCAUAAACUAUGCCGACUAGGAAUCAGACGAUGUUAAUUUUUUAAUGACUCGUUUGGCACCUUACGGGAAACCA
Molecule: ribosomal RNA, 678 nt
Filed under: uncultured Glomeromycotina
Lineage: Eukaryota; Fungi; Glomeromycota
Description: SSU rRNA
Rfam family: Eukaryotic small subunit ribosomal RNA
Source: RNAcentral